GAUGAACGCUGGCGGCGUGCCUAAUACAUGCAAGUCGAGCGAACGGACGAGAAGCUUGCUUCUCUGAUGUUAGCGGCGGACGGGUGAGUAACACGUGGAUAACCUACCUAUAAGACUGGGAUAACUUCGGGAAACCGGAGCUAAUACCGGAUGAUAUUUUGAACCGCAUGGUUCAAAAGUGAAAGACGGUCUUGCUGUCACUUAUAGAUGGAUCCGCGCUGCAUUAGCUAGUUGGUAAGGUAACGGCUUACCAAGGCAACGAUGCAUAGCCGACCUGAGAGGGUGAUCGGCCACACUGGAACUGAGACACGGUCCAGACUCCUACGGGAGGCAGCAGUAGGGAAUCUUCCGCAAUGGGCGAAAGCCUGACGGAGCAACGCCGCGUGAGUGAUGAAGGUCUUCGGAUCGUAAAACUCUGUUAUUAGGGAAGAACAUAUGUGUAAGUAACUGUGCACAUCUUGACGGUACCUAAUCAGAAAGCCACGGCUAACUACGUGCCAGCAGCCGCGGUAAUACGUAGGUGGCAAGCGUUAUCCGGAAUUUAUGNNGCGUAAGCGCGCGUAGGCGGUUUUUUAAGUCUGAUGUGAAAGCCCACGGCUCAACCGUGGAGGGUCAUUGGAAACUGGAAAACUUGAGUGCAGAAGAGGAAAGUGGAAUUCCAUGUGUAGCGGUGAAAUGCGCAGAGAUAUGGAGGAACACCAGUGGCGAAGGCGACUUUCUGGUCUGUAACUGACGCUGAUGUGCGAAAGCGUGGGGAUCAAACAGGAUUAGAUACCCUGGUAGUCCACGCCGUAAACGAUGAGUGCUAAGUGUUAGGGGGUUUCCGCCCCUUAGUGCUGCAGCUAACGCAUUAAGCACUCCGCCUGGGGAGUACGACCGCAAGGUUGAAACUCAAAGGAAUUGACGGGGACCCGCACAAGCGGUGGAGCAUGUGGUUUAAUUUGAAGCAACGCGAAGAACCUUACCAAAUCUUGACAUCCUUUGACAACUCUAGAGAUAGAGCCUUCCCCUUCGGGGGACAAAGUGACAGGUGGUGCAUGGUUGUCGUCAGCUCGUGUCGUGAGAUGUUGGGUUAAGUCCCGCAACGAGCGCAACCCUUAAGCUUAGUUGCCAUCAUUAAGUUGGGCACUCUAAGUUGACUGCCGGUGACAAACCGGAGGAAGGUGGGGAUGACGUCAAAUCAUCAUGCCCCUUAUGAUUUGGGCUACACACGUGCUACAAUGGACAAUACAAAGGGCAGCGAAACCGCGAGGUCAAGCAAAUCCCAUAAAGUUGUUCUCAGUUCGGAUUGUAGUCUGCAACUCGACUACAUGAAGCUGGAAUCGCUAGUAAUCGUAGAUCAGCAUGCUACGGUGAAUACGUUCCCGGGUCU
Molecule: ribosomal RNA, 1372 nt
Filed under: uncultured bacterium
Lineage: Bacteria
Description: bacterial SSU rRNA
Rfam family: Bacterial small subunit ribosomal RNA
Source: RNAcentral